This 747-nucleotide long non-coding RNA is filed under the name Triticum aestivum (bread wheat). RNAcentral's name for it is "long non-coding RNA (TAES_LNC000752)". The record is from RNAcentral. Lineage: Eukaryota; Viridiplantae; Streptophyta; Magnoliopsida; Poales; Poaceae.
GAAGGGGUAGGCACGGCACCCGUUCUAGAGAAGUGGAGUGUGUUCUACAGGCUUACAUCUCGCCGCGCGUUCUACAAAUUGUGCAGCUCCCUUCUAAGGUAUGAAUCGUGCCCAUGCCUCUCCCGUUCUAGUUCUUCUACUAACUAAUGUGAGUUUUUCCGAGACGAGUUGCCGUCCUGCUGAUUGCUAGAUUUUUAGAAGAUAAUCAAUAGAGGUGUUGGUUAGUAUUAGCUGCAGGAGAGGAAAGCGCUGGGUGCUCCCGUCGUCGUACACGGUCGCUGAGGAGAGCCGACGGCUAUGGAGGACGUCGAGUGGCAGUGGCAGUUGCUCCCGUUUCUGCUACGAGUGUAUCAACGGCGUCGUCAGCCAUCGACCCCUCCAUUUCGGGCUUGCUCGAGAUACAAAAUGCAUACGUCCAUCUCAUCGCUACGAAAUUUGUUGAAGCUGCAAGUCUGAUUAAUCAAUCCAUUCCACCGAUGUUGUUUCAGUAUUUGCCAUGCUUUUGUUUUAAUUGUGUUUUUGCACUGACAGUCAGUACAAGUAGUAGAAUAGAGUGUCAAGCAUAUCAGACAUACAUAACCUGGUCCCAUGUUGCUUUCAUGUUGAUUCAAUCAAAUCUAAUUGAUCGUUUGAGACAAUCUCUAUUUUGGUUCAGUAAUGUCAUGUUCAUUUUACUGUCGGAGUGAUCCAUCGAGUCCAUGCAUGCAUUUUUGGUUGAUUGGUUCAGUACAUAUGGCCAUGCAAUUG